ACAAUGAUGACCGUAGUACUGGCGAAGGAAAUGGUCAAUAGUGCCCCUGAAGGCCGUUUCGGCCGAUGUUGGGUAGGAAUUGCAGUGUGCGGUACUCAAGGUCCACUGGAUUGUGGUGCCAAAGUGGUGAAAGCCCCGUACGAGUUGCCGCAAGCUCUCUUCCGUAUCGUGUAGCGCUACUUCAAAAUGUAGCGUGAACUGGGAGGUAAGGGCCUCCCAACACUUUUUGGAACUCUUCCGAUAGCAUAUAGUACCGUGAGGGAAAUGUGAAAAGACGGCUAUUAAGCCAGUGAGAAAGACCUUCAAAUCACAUCAGCAGAACGUUUGGGUAUCGAGAGAUAUUCAAACACCCGUCUUGUAACACGGACCAAGGAGUCAUUGGUUGUAGCAAAUUGAAGCGACAACGCAGAAGAUUUAGCUGUUCCCAAUGGACCCGAAAGGUGGUGAACUAUUUCUGAGAAGAUUGAAGCCAGUGGAAACGCUGGUAGAGGAUCUGUGUGAUACUGACGUGCAAUUCGUUCAUAUUACUUGGGAAUAGGGGCGAAAGACUAAUCGAACCACUUAGUAGCUGGUUUCUCUCGAAGUUUCUCCUAGGAUAGCGGACGAAUCACCUGUCAUGCGUUGUAGAGCAAUGUUUUGAGGAUACGGGGGCAAUCGCCCUUGACCUAGUCGCAAACUACGAAUGCGCAUCGUGGAAACUUGUUUCCACAUGGAAGGUUUCGUCUCGUGGACCGUUUUUGGUAAGCAGAUGCGGUGCUUUGGAAUGCUCCAAGCUUGAAGAAAAGGGAUAUUAUAGUUGUUUAUUUCUUUAAAAGGUGUUCAUACAUUUAGACAGUUCGACGGUGGCCAUGGAAGUAGGAACCCGCUAAGGAGUGUGUAACAACUCACGAACCGAAUGGAUGGGCCCUUAAAAUGGACUGUGUUUAAACGGCUACCCGUACCUUCAAAGCAAUUCGAAGAAUUGUUUGUAGAGAGACGUGGCUGUUGGGCUGAAGCGCCGCAUUGAUGCGGUGCGGACCUUCAGUCAGUGCUGAUCUUGGUAGCAGUAGCAAUAUUUUGGUUAUUACCAAAAGGCGUAUGAAGAUGAGGUUUCCGUGGGUACAUUAAAUGGCCGCGGGUGAGGCGAUCGUGAUAUUAAUUUUGAAAAGGUACUGGGUUGUUAUUCCCAGCCCACCGGUCUCAUGGCGGCGACGCCCAAAUAACAUCUUGUCUGGACGGGCCCGUUCAUCGGCGUUUUCUAUGCCCUUGAACUUCUUUUCACAAUGGACUAGUUUUACACUACGAAAUUGACAAAAGAUAGGAACCAUGUUUGUCACAGAACGUGGCCCGUACUGCGCUUUCUUCGAUGUUAUAAGAUGCCCGGUUGAUCGUACCAAUAACCGCAUCAGGUCUCUAGGGUUCGCAGCCCUUCGUUUGUGGAAAAAAAUAGGCUAGGGAAGUCGGCAAAAUAGAUCUGUAACCUUGGGAUAAGGAUUGGCUCUGCUAGCUAUUGCCUCGGUUUGAUGUUCUUUGAUGUGUGGUGGCUCGCUGUUGCGCAUGGGGAUCACUGAAUCGAGCAAUGUAUGCUACAGUAGAACUGAGACGACAAGGGGAAUCCGACAGUUUAACUAAAACCAAGCACCUUGCCUCGUUUAAGAUGUAUACAAGGUGUGAAUUCUGCCCGGUGCUUUGAAUGUCAAUGUGAGGAGACUCAUCUAAGCGCGGGUUAACGGCAGGCGUAACUAUGACGCUUUCAACGUAGCAAAAUGCCUCGUCAUGUAAUUUGUGACUCGCAUGAACGGAUUAAUGAGAUUCCUACUGUCCCUGUCUAUCUUCCAGCGAAUCUACAGCCAAGGGAACGGGCUUGGUUUUAACGGAACGGCAAGAAGACCCUGUUGAGGUUGACUCUAGCUAGUGUUUGUACAGUUGCGCAAGUGGCGUAGAGUAUGUGGGAGCUCCGGCAUCGAUGAAACACCACAACAUUUGAAGCGGCUGAACUUACUUGUUGAAUAUAUUUGGUAUUUAGUAUCACAGACGAAACGAGGACAUCCACUGGUUGGGAGUUUGGCUGGGGCGGUACAUCUGUUAAAUUUCACCACAGGUGUCCAAUGACUGUCUCAAUGAGAUCAGAAAUCUCAUGUAGACCAAAAGGGGAAAUGACAGUCUUAUCCCGUGCACUAGAAUCGCACGGAAUCGUGAAAGCGUGGCCUAUCGAUCCUUUCGGAAACCGGCUCCUUGGGCCGAGAGGUGCCUGAAAACUUACCACAGGGAUAACUGAUUUGUGGCAGCCAAGCGUCCAAAGCGACGUUGCUUUUUGAUCCUUCGAUGUCGGCUCUUCCUAUCAUGAAGUUGCAGAAGGCUUCAAGUGUUAGAUUGUUCACCUAUUAAAAGGGAUCGUGAGCUGGGCUCAGACCGUCGUGAGACAGGUUAGUUUUAUCCGUCCGUUAUGUGGAGAUGUCAGGUAGUGUGACCCAGUACGAGAGGAACUGUCACACAGGUUCAAUGGUGAGGUAAUCGGCCGAAAGGCCGGGUCACUAAGCUACAACCUCGGAUUCUGCGCUGAGUGCCUC
RNAcentral lists this ribosomal RNA (2549 nucleotides) under Melita plumulosa. Its description in RNAcentral is "eukaryotic LSU rRNA". It matches the Rfam family "Eukaryotic large subunit ribosomal RNA". The record is from RNAcentral. Lineage: Eukaryota; Metazoa; Arthropoda; Malacostraca; Amphipoda; Melitidae.